GGCAUAGCUCAGUGGUAGAGCAUGUGCUUAGCAUGCACAAGGUCCUGGGUUCAAUCCCCAGUACUGCCA
Molecule: transfer RNA, 69 nt
Filed under: Camelus bactrianus (Bactrian camel)
Lineage: Eukaryota; Metazoa; Chordata; Mammalia; Artiodactyla; Camelidae
Also listed under: 2 other names
Rfam family: tRNA
About the family: Transfer RNA (tRNA) molecules are approximately 80 nucleotides in length. Their secondary structure includes four short double-helical elements and three loops (D, anti-codon, and T loops). Further hydrogen bonds mediate the characteristic L-shaped molecular structure. tRNAs have two regions of fundamental functional importance: the anti-codon, which is responsible for specific mRNA codon recognition, and the 3' end, to which the tRNAs corresponding amino acid is attached (by aminoacyl-tRNA synthetases). tRNAs cope with the degeneracy of the genetic code in two manners: having more than one tRNA (with a specific anti-codon) for a particular amino acid; and 'wobble' base-pairing, i.e. permitting non-standard base-pairing at the 3rd anti-codon position.
Source: Rfam by way of RNAcentral